RNAcentral lists this ribosomal RNA (460 nucleotides) under uncultured bacterium. RNAcentral's name for it is "partial 16S ribosomal RNA". It matches the Rfam family "Bacterial small subunit ribosomal RNA", at positions 338 to 795 of the family's 1533-position model. The record is from RNAcentral.
CCUACGGGUGGCAGCAGUGAGGAAUAUUGGUCAAUGGACGAGAGUCUGAACCAGCCAAGUAGCGUGAAGGAUGACUGCCCUAUGGGUUGUAAACUUCUUUUAUAUGGGAAUAAAAUGGUCCACGUGUGGGAUUUUGUAUGUACCAUAUGAAUAAGGAUCGGCUAACUCCGUGCCAGCAGCCGCGGUAAUACGGAGGAUCCGAGCGUUAUCCGGAUUUAUUGGGUUUAAAGGGAGCGUAGGUGGAUUGUUAAGUCAGUUGUGAAAGUUUGCGGCUCAACCGUAAAAUUGCAGUUGAAACUGGCAGUCUUGAGUACAGGAGAGGUAGGCGGAAUUCGUGGUGUAGCGGUGAAAUGCUUAGAUAUCACGAAGAACUCCGAUUGCGAAGGCAGUUCACUGGACUGCAACUGACGCUGAGGCUCGAAAGUGUGGGUAUCAAACAGGAUUAGAUACCCCAGUAGUC